This 691-nucleotide long non-coding RNA is filed under the name Gossypium barbadense (sea-island cotton). RNAcentral's name for it is "long non-coding RNA (GBAR_LNC007730)". The record is from RNAcentral. Lineage: Eukaryota; Viridiplantae; Streptophyta; Magnoliopsida; Malvales; Malvaceae.
CCAGGUUUUUGGAGUUUUCAGAACCCAUUCCCUUACCCCCUUGCGCUGCUGCUGCCUUCGAGCCAGCCUCUACGCGCGCCAUUACUUCAGCCCACGCUUCCACCUUCCAUAUUUCACGUUCACACGCCCAUGAACGCACUCUUCACGUCUCCACGUACCUGCAAAAUGGAGAAUAGCAAGGAACCGUUUGUAUAGGCUAUAAAGCCUUCGAUUUUUUUUAAUUGUAAGGGGGGUGGUUUUUCUUUUCUUUUUCAUUUUUCUCAAAGAGAUAGAACACAAGUUGUAUACAAAAUACAUUAAAAAAAUCAAUAAAAAGCAACCAAGAGAUAUUCAAAGGUGGUGAUUGCUGUUUGAUUUCGUUUUUCUUUUUUUCUAUUUUCAUCAAAUAUACUAAGAUAUAAGAGAAAGGAGGAGACUUACCGGAGUUGCAUCACGCUCACGACAGCUGAUGGCUCGACUCCGUUUUCCAUAGUCGGAUUUUGAGGCGGUUAAAGCUUGGCCAUUCGUCUGGGGGGUGAGUAGUGGGAGUAAUAAAGUUUUUUUUUAAGAAACAGAAGUUAAAAGUGUUUUCUUUAGCAAAAGAUUGGCUUUAAAACAAACUUUUUCUUUUAAUAAUAAAAUAAAUGCUUGAGAGUGAGAAGCAGUAACAUUUGGGGGGUGGGGGAAGGCGUGUUGACCCAUUUGCCAGGCU